GAUGAAGAACGCAGCGAAAUGCGAUAAGUAAUGUGAAUUGCAGAAUUCAGUGAAUCAUCGAAUCUUUGAACGCACAUUGCGCCCGCCAGUAUUCUGGCGGGCAUGCCUGUUCGAGCGUCAUUUCAACCCUCAAGCCCCCGGGCUUGGUGUUGGGGAUCGGCGUGCCCUCGCGGCGCGCCGUCCCCUAAAUCUAGUGGCGGUCUCGCUGUAGCUUCCUCUGCGUAGUAGCAACACUCGCACUGGANNNNAGCGCGGCCACGCCGUUAAACCCCCCACUUCUGAAAGUUUGACCUCGGAUCAGGUAGGAAUACCCGCUGAACUUAAGCAUAUCAAUAAGCGGAGGA
Molecule: unclassified non-coding RNA, 344 nt
Filed under: soil metagenome
Description: partial contains 5.8S ribosomal RNA, internal transcribed spacer 2, and large subunit ribosomal RNA
Rfam family: 5.8S ribosomal RNA (bases 1-120)
Source: RNAcentral